RNAcentral lists this long non-coding RNA (254 nucleotides) under Ananas comosus (pineapple). RNAcentral describes it as "long non-coding RNA (ACOM_LNC020023)". Lineage: Eukaryota; Viridiplantae; Streptophyta; Magnoliopsida; Poales; Bromeliaceae. The record is from RNAcentral.
AUAACAGCUUUUAUUUCUUUUUUGAAGUAUAAUUAACUGUAUUAAUUAAUAUACUACUUAUGUCUUCUAUUUACUAUAUAAUUUAAAAUAUUUUAGAAUUUACAUAAAUUUCCGGCCGCGUAGCUCGGGCCUUCACUAGUGUAUAGAUAAGGGACAUUAAUUAAUUAUUUUAUAUUAACCUGUAAUCUUAUACUAAUUCAAAAAUAUUUAACACAAUAAACUGAACCAAUAAGAGCAAUAAAUAAUAAAAACUA